Molecule: ribosomal RNA, 399 nt
Filed under: uncultured bacterium
Lineage: Bacteria
Description: bacterial SSU rRNA
Rfam family: Bacterial small subunit ribosomal RNA
Source: RNAcentral
CAAGUCUUGACGUCCCAUUGACGAGAGGGCAAUGCCUCUUUCCCUUCGGGGCAAUGGAGACAGGUGGUGCAUGGUUGUCGUCAGCUCGUGUCGUGAGAUGUUGGGUUAAGUCCCGCAACGAGCGCAACCCCUGUGCUUAGUAGCCAGCAGUAAGAUGGGCACUCUAGGGAGACUGCCGGGGAUAACUCGGAGGAAGGUGGGGACGACGUCAAAUCAUCAUGCCCCUUAUGACUUGGGCUACACACGUGCUACAAUGGCGUAAACAAAGGGAAGCAGCCCUGUGAAGGUGAGCGAAUCCCAAAAAUAACGUCUCAGUUCGGAUUGUAGUCUGCAACUCGACUACAUGAAGCUGGAAUCGCUAGUAAUCGCGAAUCAGAAUGUCGCGGUGAAUACGUUCCC